RNAcentral lists this ribosomal RNA (953 nucleotides) under uncultured beta proteobacterium. RNAcentral's name for it is "bacterial SSU rRNA". It matches the Rfam family "Bacterial small subunit ribosomal RNA", at positions 24 to 975 of the family's 1533-position model. Lineage: Bacteria; Pseudomonadati; Pseudomonadota; Betaproteobacteria. The record is from RNAcentral.
UCAGAUUGAACGCUGGCGGAAUGCUUUACACAUGCAAGUCGAACGGUAGAGGGGGCAACUCCUCGAGAGUGGCGAACGGGUGAGUAAUAUAUCGGAACGUGCCCAGUCGUGGGGGAUAACGUAGCGAAAGUUACGCUAAUACCGCAUACGAUCUAAGGAUGAAAGCGGGGGACUCGCAAGAGCCUCGCGCGAUUGGAGCGGCCGAUAUCAGAUUAGGUAGUUGGUGGGGUAAAGGCUCACCAAGCCAACGAUCUGUAGCUGGUCUGAGAGGACGACCAGCCACACUGGAACUGAGACACGGUCCAGACUCUACGGGAGGCAGCAGUGGGGAAUUUUGGACAAUGGACGCAAGUCUGAUCCAGCCAUUCCGCGUGCAGGAUGAAGGCCCUCGGGUUGUAAACUGCUUUUGUACGGAACGAAAAGGUCUCUAUUAAUACUAGGGGCUCAUGACGGUACCGUAAGAAUAAGCACCGGCUAACUACGUGCCAGCAGCCGCGGUAAUACGUAGGGUGCAAGCGUUAAUCGGAAUUACUGGGCGUAAAGCGUGCGCAGGCGGUUAUGUAAGACAGAGGUGAAAUCCCCGGGCUCAAGCCUGGGAACUGCCUUUGUGACUGCAUAGCUAGAGUACGGUAGAGGGGGAUGGAAUUCCGCGUGUAGCAGUGAAAUGCGUAGAUAUGCGGAGGAACACCGAUGGCGAAGGCAAUCCCCUGGACCUGUACUGACGCUCAUGCACGAAAGCGUGGGGAGCAAACAGGAGUAGAUACCCUGGUAGUCCACGCCCUAAACGAUGUCAACUGGUUGUUGGGUCUUCACUGACUCAGUAACGAAGCUAACGCGUGAAGUUGACCGCCUGGGGAGUACGGCCGCAAGGUUGAAMCUCAAAGGAAUUGACGGGGACCCGCACAAGCGGUGGAUGAUGUGGUUUAAUUCGAUGCAACGCGAAAAACCUUACC